AUUGAACGCUGGCGGCAGGCCUAACACAUGCAAGUCGAGCGGAUGAAGGGAGCUUGCUCCUGGAUUCAGCGGCGGACGGGUGAGUAAUGCCUAGGAAUCUGCCUGGUAGUGGGGGAUAACGUCCGGAAACGGGCGCUAAUACCGCAUACGUCCUGAGGGAGAAAGUGGGGGAUCUUCGGACCUCACGCUAUCAGAUGAGCCUAGGUCGGAUUAGCUAGUUGGUGGGGUUAAGGCCUACCAAGGCGACGAUCCGUAACUGGUCUGAGAGGAUGAUCAGUCACACUAGAACUGAGACACGGUCCAGACUCCUACGGGAGGCAGCAGUGGGGAAUAUUGGACAAUGGGCGAAAGCCUGAUCCAGCCAUGCCGCGUGUGUGAAGAAGGUCUUCGGAUUGUAAAGCACUUUAAGUUGGGAGGAAGGGCAGUAAGUUAAUACCUUGCUGUUUUGACGUUACCAACAGAAUAAGCACCGGCUAACUUCGUG
This 484-nucleotide ribosomal RNA is filed under the name uncultured bacterium. Its description in RNAcentral is "partial 16S ribosomal RNA". It matches the Rfam family "Bacterial small subunit ribosomal RNA", at positions 30 to 507 of the family's 1533-position model. The record is from RNAcentral.